GAUGAACGCUGGCGGCGUGCUUAACACAUGCAAGUCGAACGGAGAGCUAAUGACAGAGGAUUCGUCCAAUGGAUUUAGUUUCUUAGUGGCGGACGGGUGAGUAACGCGUGAGUAACCUGCCUUGGAGUGGGGAAUAACACAGUGAAAAUUGUGCUAAUACCGCAUAAUGCAUUUAGGUCGCAUGACUUUGAAUGCCAAAGAUUUAUCGCUCUGAGAUGGACUCGCGUCUGAUUAGCUAGUUGGCGGGGCAAUGGCCCACCAAGGCGACGAUCAGUAGCCGGACUGAGAGGUUGGCCGGCCACAUUGGGACUGAGACACGGCCCAGACUCCUACGGGAGGCAGCAGUGGGGAAUAUUGGGCAAUGGGCGCAAGCCUGACCCAGCAACGCGCGUGAAGGAGAAGGCUUUCGGUGUAAACUCUUUAGUCAGGACGAAGCAAGUGACGGUACCUGACGAAUAAGCCAAC
This 465-nucleotide ribosomal RNA is filed under the name uncultured bacterium. RNAcentral's name for it is "bacterial SSU rRNA". It matches the Rfam family "Bacterial small subunit ribosomal RNA", at positions 28 to 495 of the family's 1533-position model. The record is from RNAcentral.